This 1167-nucleotide long non-coding RNA is filed under the name Columba livia (rock pigeon). RNAcentral describes it as "partial uncharacterized LOC102089174, transcript variant X1". The record is from RNAcentral. Lineage: Eukaryota; Metazoa; Chordata; Aves; Columbiformes; Columbidae.
UAAGCCUGAUGCAAUGAUUCAGUGCAAAGCCCUUUUGUGUUUUGAGGUUCUGCUCAUCAGAUAUCGGCUUUUCCCCGUAUUCUGCAGCAGCGGUGGCAGGUUUCCCAUUGGCACCGACAGGUCUUAAGAACCAAAAGGUGCAUAUUGCAAUUACCCAUCAGUAAUCUGGAUUGGACACGGAGGGAGCAAAAGGGUUCAGCAACCACUGGGAUUAAGAGAGAACAAGGAGACCAACUUCAGGGAAAACAGCAGCAACCAGACACGCUGUGAGCCAGCAGAAAACACAAGAGAAGAGGAACUGGUGUACACAAAUGAGGAAUCUUCAGUAAGAAGCAACAAAAAUGUCAGGACAUCCCCAUCUGUGCUCUCCACCUUCCCCAGUUUGUUUGCUGCCCAGCAGGUCUGACUCUCAGAAUUUGCACAGGGGAACAGCACGAAGGCAGGUAAAAGACAGUGAAAAGCAGGAGUGUAUUAAUAAACCCACGUUCUCUGGUCAGAGCAGAGACCACAGACUGUCGCUCUCUGGCCAUUUACUAGUUUUGCAGCCCUUUCCAAGUUAACAUCUCCUGCCUCAGUUUCCCCACUUGUGAAUAGCAAAGCUUUAACUCCUUUGAACUCCUUGGUAUCCACCCAGAUCUCUGAGCUUUGACCUGUACAAGUUUACAUGGUGGUUUGUACAGUCUUGCUGCACGCUAACUUCCACCACACAGCAGAUUAUUUUAACAACAGCAACUCCCUUCCAGCUCCUCACUGCUACUCACAUCACAGCUUCUCCUACAUCAACCAGAAACACAACACAGCACUGUGCCCCCCCUUGCUGUACUGCAAAAUCCUGCAUCUUAAAACAUUAAGCAAAGCUUUGUAUUGUAGCUAAUGAAUACUGUUAAAAGGGUAUUGAAUGCUUUUUCCAUUGCCGCUAAUUGAGUGAAGAGAAAACAGUCUCCACUGCUGCCAUAUCACGUCAAAAUAAUUAGCUCAACUAUAAAUAGCUCAGCUUACUCACUUUUUUCUUUUCCUCUUUUUUUAAGGUCAAGACUGCAGCCAAAAGGAGCAGCAGAGCAUCCCUCUGUUCUUGGAGUCAGACAAACAGCGAGGCAAGGAAGUGCAUCUGUAAUCAACAAUCCCCAGGCCGCACAAUUACAUCAUAAUUAGAAAAAUAAUCCCAUU